GGUUGCUCCAUCUGUGGCUGAGGUCCUUCUGUUGUCAUUGAAACUGGAGUAUUAGGUGCAGCACGAGCUGACCCUUCGUAACUGCUGUAUGGAAAUACAAGCCUCAUGUCUUUACAAGGCUGAGUGAAGCCAGCCACCGUUGGCAGAUUUCUCUUCUGUCUUGAUGCUACAACGUGUGGCGGAAAUUUUCCCGACAAAACGUCGAAUUUAUCAUCAGAUACCAUGAGAUGAAUGAACUGUUCAAGUUUUCUCACGCAUUUCCAGGCCCGUUGUAAAGCAAGGACAACUCCUCUGUAUAAAAAGCGUGUUCACACGGAGGCUUCAUAUGUACAACAGUUCUUUUAUUUUGUUUAUUGAUUGAUUAUA
Molecule: non-coding RNA, 366 nt
Organism: Ciona intestinalis (vase tunicate)
Lineage: Eukaryota; Metazoa; Chordata; Ascidiacea; Phlebobranchia; Cionidae
Source: RefSeq, a predicted model, not a curated record